This 1507-nucleotide long non-coding RNA is filed under the name Carica papaya (papaya). Its description in RNAcentral is "long non-coding RNA (CPAP_LNC016104)". Lineage: Eukaryota; Viridiplantae; Streptophyta; Magnoliopsida; Brassicales; Caricaceae. The record is from RNAcentral.
AAAAGGAGCCACGUUGGCGAUCCGCGUGGGUGCGAUCCGACGGCCCAGAUCAAUCGCGCGAUCGGACGGCCCAGAUUCAAACGCACGGACGGCCCAGAUUCAAUCAAAAACGAACGGCCCAGAUUAAAAUGAAAUGAACGGCUGUGAUCAAAAGGCAAGGGGUUAUAAAUAGAACCCCCACACCAGACCACAAACGCUAGCCGCCAGCCGCUCGCCGGAGAAGACGAACCAGAGGCCGACCGCCGCCACCCGCCGCCACUCGCCGCCGCACCGGGGAAAUUUCCGACCGCCGAUCGAGGUUGACCGAAGCCAAAUCACCAAAACACGAACCUCGCCGGAGAGUCGCCGUACCCGAGAGCGCCGCCGCCGGUACUGUUAGUGUGUUUCAGUUCCCCGGGAAAAAUUCAGGGAAAAUUAGGGACAGCCUGCAGGCGCACUGUGAAUCGUAUUCGGAUCCCGAAAACAAGUAAGGACCCCUCACCCUAUUUUCUAUCAUGGUAUUAAAGUUCAAUAAAUGAUAAAACGGUAUUUCAUGAACCAACGAAUGUGUGAAAUUGCUUAAGGUCGCUAAUGGAGCCCGAGUCUAGUGUGUUUGUCGGUUAACUGUUAUUUGGCCUGUUUUACAGUUUUAAAUGCAGUAUGAGGUUUGAUAUUUUUCAUUUUAUAGUUUCGUAUGCAUAUAUUACUGUUUUAUUAAUUAUGGGUUGAAUGACUGAAGAACUGAUACUGUAUGUUGUCUGUUCGGCAUGAAUUACGAUUUGCUUGUUUAAAUGUGAAUUGAUGAUGCUUAUUGAGGAAAAAGGGAAAUGAAACAUUGUAUAGACUGAUAAUUGUAUGAUGGGGUCAGCCUGACUAGAUAUCCUGGAGAUGGUGGACAGACCGGGUCCGUAGGGAACCCUACCGGGAUUGUGGUCUCACAUGCCGGACGGGGCAUGGAGAUCUUAUGGUUUUGGCGCCCAUACCGGACAGGGUAUGGGGACGGCCCGUUUCACCCUCAUACCGGACGGGGUAUUGAGGUUUAUGGUUUUGGCGCCCAUACCGGACGGGGUAUGGGGACGGCCCUGGAAACUGAUUAUGAAUGUUAAAGGUUAACGGGUAGCGGGACCCCUAGGGACCCCCAUGGAUACUAGUAGGCUGGUAAAUGAGAAAAGAAUAUGUUGUAUAAUGAUUGAAUUAUAAAAGGCGUGAUAAGUGCUAUGUUUUACAGCUUAUAUUAUUCCAUGAUUGUGAUAAUGUUAUUAUUUUUCUUAUAUUGUUUUCAUAAAUUCCACCGAGGUAAGUGGAUGGUAAAGGUUUUCAUGUUAAUAAACGAGUUUAUUGUAAAUUAUGCUCCAUUGGUCUUUUUGUGGUUUUCUACCCACCUUUAUCUCCGUGACGGUGAGAUAUCGUGAUGUUCUUAUUGGGCUAGUGUAGCUCACUCCUUAAUUAACCAUUUCAGAUCAGGAAGACAUGGUUCCCGAGCCCGUUCCGCAGGAGGACGACGAAGGGGAUGCCUAGAGACUCUGUA